UGAAUUUAAUGGAAAGGGUGAGAUUGUAUUGACUUGUAUAAAUUUUCAAUAUUUGGUUCAAUGUUGGUUAAAGAUAAUCUUAAAGUUGAUGUCAAAUUUUUGGUAAGCAUAGAGUGAGAUCCCUGGUACAUUACUAGCCUGCUUCUCUAAUGUGACAGUGCUGUAUUGGCUUCUGUUAUUGAUCUCCAGGGAUUCUAUUAUCAUCCCUUCUAUCUAUAAUUUACAAUGUUUUACAACAUUUUAAAGUUUUAGAACUUCAUAAAAUUUAAAACAUUGUUCCAUCUUCCAUCUAUUAUUCGUAGCUCUUAACAGAUUUCUCUUGUAAGUGUUUAAUGAACCUGAAACUUGACCAUCUACUUUAAGAGAACAGCAUCUUAAGUUAUGAGAUACUUCUCAUUUGAUGGAUAAUAGCAGAAAGGAGUCUCUAUCAGAAGAUAUAUGGCUAACAUAAUGACAAAAAUUCUGUUAAAUACAUAGAAUCAGUCAUGUUUGAAAGCUUUAUAGAUUCAUUUAAAAUAUAUGUAUGUUAUGUUGAUGACAUAUUCAUCAUUUGGAAGAACAGAUAGAUCCUUAGAAUUGAAAGAAGCUUUUGAAAAUUAAAAUGCUGGCCUUAGACUUUAUUGUGACUAAUGCAGUUUUACGUCUGUUCACUUCUUGUGUAUACAAUUAGAUGUCUCAAAAGGUCAUUAUGAAAUGAAAAUAUAUAGAAAAAUCUACCUACAUACUGGUGAUCCUACAAUCUGAUCUAACGAUCUGCUGGAUCUGUAAAGGUAUAAAAAAUUAACUUUCCAUUCUUUCUUCCAGACAGUUUUCAUCCACUGCAAGAAAAUUGAAGAUAACAGAAACUUCAUAAUCAUAUACUGGGAUAUAUAGUAUGGGGUAUAUAAUGUUACACAUUUAAAUUUAUGAAAUCAACAUAUGACCUGAUUGAAAAAUCUUUGAACACUAUGCAUGAUCAAAUACAACAUGAAACGUGAACAGAGGAAUUCAAAAACUUGUGAAGGUGCCAUAUAGCAUCAUAUAGCACUUAAAACAAUCAAAAGAAUCAUUGCUAAGUUAAAUACCAAGCUUGUGAUUUCAAUAUACCCAACUUUGUAUGGUAAACUCAGAAAUGAAAAUGAUAAAUUUUACGAAGUUAAAUAUGGAUAUUACACACCAGUGUAUGUAAUGCUCAUAUUUAACAAAGACCUUAAUCGUCAUAAAGAGUAUGGCUAUAUCAUAUUAAGAAAUUUAUUAGAUUGCCUAGCCAAGCAUAAACAAGACAUCUGCUAUGGUCAUAUCAAUAUUGCUCUUUGUAAACAGCUUUAUAAAUUUAAUCCAGAUAAUAAUUGGAAAGACAUGAAAGUUAUAAAACAUUGUAAAUUGUGGAAACAAGGAAUGAUGAUGAAGUCUGUGGAUAUUGAUACUAGAAGUCAAUACAUCACUGUCAUUAAUGAGAACCAGGCUAGUAAUGUAUCUGGGACAUAGCUCUAUGCUUACUGAAAAUACCAGAAUAGAUAUUCUAUGCAUUAAUCUGAUGGUGAAUAGUCAUGGUAAACUCCUGUAUUGGUAUUACAACCUAACACAUAUAUUGUACUUUCAUUUAUAAAAUUACAUUAAUUGUGUUUGUUUUCACACCUUUUUCAUUUAUUUUAUUUCUAAGUUUAUAUUUUAGUGUUAACU
RNAcentral lists this long non-coding RNA (1662 nucleotides) under Androctonus crassicauda. Lineage: Eukaryota; Metazoa; Arthropoda; Arachnida; Scorpiones; Buthidae. The record is from RNAcentral.